AUUGAACGCUGGCGGCAGGCCUAACACAUGCAAGUCGAGCGGAGCGGCGGACGGGUGAGUAAUGCCUAGGAAUCUGCCUGGUAGUGGGGGAUAACGUCCGGAAACGGGCGCUAAUACCGCAUACUAUCAGAUCAGCCUAGGUAGGAUUAGCUAGUUGGUGGGGUAAAGGCCUACCAAGGCGACGAUCCGUAACUGGUCUGAGGGGAUGAUCAGUCAACCGGGAACUGGAACCCGGUCCAGAAUCUCACGAUAGGCAGCAGGGGGGAAUAGUGGACAAUGGGCGAAAGCCUGAUCCAGCCAUGCCGCGUGUGGGAAGAAGGUCUUCGGAUUUUAAAGCACUUUAAGUUGGGAGGCGUUACCAACAGAAUAAGCACCGGGUAACUUCGUGCCAGCAGCCGCGGUAAUAC
Molecule: ribosomal RNA, 407 nt
Filed under: uncultured bacterium
Lineage: Bacteria
Description: partial 16S ribosomal RNA
Rfam family: Bacterial small subunit ribosomal RNA
Source: RNAcentral